CUACCAAGCCAACGAUCAGUAGCCGACCUGAGAGGGUGACCGGCCACAUUGGGACUGAGACACGGCCCAAACUCCUACGGGAGGCAGCAGUGGGGAAUAUUGCACAAUGGGGGAAACCCUGAUGCAGCGACGCCGCGUGAGCGAAGAAGUAUUUCGGUAUGUAAAGCUCUAUCAGCAGGGAAGAAAAUGACGGUACCUGACUAAGAAGCACCGGCUAAAUACGUGCCAGCAGCCGCGGUAAUACGUAUGGUGCAAGCGUUAUCCGGAUUUACUGGGUGUAAAGGGAGCGUAGACGGCUGUGUAAGUCUGAAGUGAAAGCCCGGGGCUCAACCCCGGGACUGCUUUGGAAACUAUGCAGCUAGAGUGUCGGAGAGGUAAGUGGAAUUCCC
This 389-nucleotide ribosomal RNA is filed under the name uncultured bacterium. Its description in RNAcentral is "bacterial SSU rRNA". It matches the Rfam family "Bacterial small subunit ribosomal RNA", at positions 265 to 671 of the family's 1533-position model. The record is from RNAcentral.